This 253-nucleotide ribosomal RNA is filed under the name uncultured bacterium. Its description in RNAcentral is "partial 16S ribosomal RNA". It matches the Rfam family "Bacterial small subunit ribosomal RNA", at positions 524 to 776 of the family's 1533-position model. The record is from RNAcentral.
UACGAAGGACCCGAGCGUUAUCCGGAUUUAUUGGGUUUAAAGGGUGCGUAGGCGGAUUAGUAAGUCAGUGGUGAAAGCCCGUCGCUCAACGGCGGAACUGCCAUUGAUACUGCUAGUCUUGAGUAUGGUUGAGGUGGGCGGAAUGUGUCAUGUAGCGGUGAAAUGCUUAGAUAUGACCCAGAACACCAAUUGCGAAGGCAGCUCGCUAAGCCAUAACUGACGCUGAUGCACGAAAGCGUGGGGAGCAAACAGG